ACGUGAGUUCGUGAUGGUUUAGCUUGUUUUAUAAAAGUUUUUUGGAGAACCAGAUAGAAAUUAAGCAAUAUGAUGGUACCCGAAAAUCUUUGCUUGGUUCCACUUGAUGCAGCUGCAUUCUUGACUAGCCUUAGUGCCAGUUGAGAAUUUCAUGCAUCUAUUUUGCUGUCAUUAAUUAAUUUUAAUUAUCUGGUUAUUACAUUUCAGCCCUAUCAUGAUGAGUGCUGGAGAAUUAGAAAGCGGGAAUGCAGGAGAGCCUGCAAAGUUGAUCAGACAAAGGUACCGCGAGGCUGCAGACAUCAUCAGGAAAGGAAAAAUGUGUGCCCUCUUCAUCAAUGAUCUUGAUGCAGGUGCUGGUAGGAUGGGUGGAACUACACAGUACACUGUGAACAACCAGAUGGUGAAUGCUACUCUCAUGAACAUUGCUGAUAACCCAACAAAUGUGCAGCUUCCUGGUAUGUAUAACAAGGAGGACAAUCCCAGAGUCCCCAUUAUAGUCACCGGUAACGAUUUCUCCACAUUGUAUGCUCCUCUCAUUCGUGACGGUCGUAUGGAGAAAUUUUACUGGGCUCCCACUAGGGAAGACCGGAUUGGGGUUUGCACGGGAAUCUUCAAGCCUGACAAUGUUAGUGCGGAUGAUGUUGUUAAGAUUGUUGACACAUUCCCUGGUCAAUCUAUUGGUAAGUAUAGCUCAAAAGAUUGGUGUUCUGGAAUUUUCCAACACUUUUCUUGAUGAGAAUUUUCAGUAUAAAGCAGGAAAGGUCUUCAACAAUCCAUAGAGACUCUUCUGUUGUAGUAGCUUUUGCAUAUAUUUUGGGAAUUAUCAGUAAAUAUGAUCCCUAUAGUAUUACUCAAUUAGCGACUUGGUUGAAAAUACGAUCAUGCUAACUUGUUAUAUGCCACACUGCAGACUUCUUUGGUGCUCUAAGGGCUCGAGUUUACGAUGAUGAAGUGAGGAAGUGGGUAUCAGGUGUUGGGGUAGAUGGCAUUGGGAAGAAGCUUGUGAACUCAAAAGAAGGUCCCCCAACUUUUGAACAGCCUAAAAUGACAGUGGAGAAGCUCCUUCACUAUGGUCAAAUGCUGGUUCAGGAGCAGGACAAUGUGAAGAGAGUUCAACUGGCUGACAAGUACUUGAGUGAUGCAGCCCUUGGAGAUGCAAACCAGGACGCCAUUAAGAGAGGAGAAUUCUAUGGUUAGUACACUUUGUCUUAACACAACAACCCUAGAGGCACCAACUUGUGUCCCAACUUUUUAAAUCUGAAGUGAUGUAGCGGAAUUUCAUUCGUUUAAAUUUGGGGCAGAUUUUCCUUACCAAAUCUGAACUAUAGUAGUUUGUUCAAGUUUUCUGUAAAUUUUUUGAUGCAGGCAAGGCAGCCCAACAAAUUAAAGUACCUGUCCCUGAAGGCUGUACUGAUCCAUCAGCUGCAAACUUUGACCCAACAGCUAGGAGUGACAAUGGUAGUUGCCAAUAUGAGUAAAUGGGGAGUUGGAAGAAAUAAUGAUAUUGCCUGCUUGCUGGGUUCUUAUCUU
This 1530-nucleotide long non-coding RNA is filed under the name Prunus persica (peach). Its description in RNAcentral is "long non-coding RNA (PPER_LNC005655)". The record is from RNAcentral. Lineage: Eukaryota; Viridiplantae; Streptophyta; Magnoliopsida; Rosales; Rosaceae.